UAGACGGUGGCAGUGAGAUUGUGCAG
RNAcentral lists this non-coding RNA (26 nucleotides) under Rattus norvegicus (Norway rat). The record is from RNAcentral. Lineage: Eukaryota; Metazoa; Chordata; Mammalia; Rodentia; Muridae.